Molecule: long non-coding RNA, 928 nt
Organism: Mustela erminea (ermine)
Lineage: Eukaryota; Metazoa; Chordata; Mammalia; Carnivora; Mustelidae
Exons: 4
Source: RefSeq, a predicted model, not a curated record
UGUGGCCCGGGAGUGUCCCCGCGCCGAAGUGUGAGCUGGGAGGAGCCAGCCGUGCGCCUUCGGCCCGCCCCGCGGGUUGAGGCGCGCGGUGGUGUGGAGUCCUAUGGACCCCACACUCGAUCUGCAGUCUGAGAUGGAGGAGUGGAUGGCCAACUCAGAGACAUGUCUAUCUGCAGUCUACUUGCUAAUGAUGUCAGAAGAUAAGCGAUGAAAACCUCAUUUGGAAAAAAAAAAAGUUUUGGAAGUUCCACCAAGAUGCCCGAUGGAGUCACCUGACAGAACCAGAAAUAAGAACAGAUAUAAACCGAAUAUUCCUCAUUUCAGAAAAUAAGGAAGUAUGUUAGCUUGAAGAUGAUUGGUAAGAGGCUUAGGUAACGUAAAGCUUUGGACUGACACUAAAUUGAGUUAAUGGAUAUUUAUUGGAUGUUCAGACCAUUUCUAAUCUGAAAUACUCAUUGCUAAACAUCAUUUUAAGUGUAUAUAUUUUUGCUUCUUCAUUUUUGUUUUGUAAUAACAGCUGACAUGUAUUGAGUGCAUAGUUCUAUAACAUUUAUGAGAAUUACUUCAUUCAAUCCUCAAAACAACCUUCUGAAACUGGAACUAUUAGUCUUCUACUUUUUAACUUGCCCAAGGUCACCUAGUUAGUAAGAAGCAGAGUUGGAAGGUGAACCCAGGUAGUCUGACUCUAGAGAAUGUGAUAAACAUAAAGCUGAAUUCUCUUUGGGCAGUCCUACCACUGGCUAGGCUCUUGAAACCCCUUUGUAAGUUUCUCCCCUUGUUUGUUAUGAUAGGCCAUAUAUUUGUUUUUGUUUGUUUGUUUGUUUUUAUUGAGGAAUAACUGACAUAUGACACUGUAUAAGUUUCAGGUAUAUAAAAUAAUGAUUUGAUAUUUGAUAUACUGCAAAAUGAUCACCACCAUAAGUCUAGU